UGCAUAUAAAGAAAAAAAAAACUAAAACUUAAAUAAAACCUAAAUAUUCUCUCUCUCUCUCUCCACUUCAUGUUAAAAACUACCCAACUUUAUCCCCCCUUCUAAUUGUGCGUGUGUGAAUGAUUAUUUCAGGAUAGUUUAACAAACAGCCGUCUUUACCCAUAUUGUCUUUUCUUCUACUCACGGUAAUUCUUCAACUUUUCCUUGCAUUUUUUGUUCAAUUUUCUUAUAUGGGUGUUGUUUAUUGAGUAAAAGUUUUGAUUUUUGUCAUCAGAUUUGUCUUGUUUCUCCUUUUAUGUUUUUCCUUCAAAUCAUAUAUAUAUAUGUUAGGGAUUGAAAUACUUUGGAGCUAUUAUUUGAAUAUUUUUAUACUUAUCAAGUGUUUGAUAAAAUUCCUAAGAGAAUCUAGUAAAAGAAAAACAUAAAAUAUGCCAAUAAAUGAAGGAAAUUAGAAGCGAAGUUUAGUAGGUUUUGAGAAACUUUUGCAAAAUUGGGAUAUUAAGAUGAAUUUGCUUUUCAAUUUGGCCAGUGGAUUUUGGAAUUAGGUGUGAUGACAUUAGAUCCCCUCACCCCAAAAAAAAAAAAAAAAUCUUUUGUAAGAACUUUAGAAAAUUGGGAUCUUUCUAUUAUUGUUCACUUCAUCUUGGUAUAUAAUUAAUCAUCUUUGUUUUUUUUUUUAAAGAAAAUUGUACCUAGUAUUAAUGUAAUGAAAAGAGUUAAUAAGUUAUUCAAAAGUUAGAGUUAUAGAAUAUUUAAGCUACAAAAUUUUAACUAUAAAAUAUUAGGUAGCUUUGAUAUGUUGGUUCAAAGGAUGGUGUUGAAGCCUGGCUUGGUUCAAAAUUAAUGUAUUUAUCUUCUUUUGUACUGGAAUAAUAAAAAGAAUGGAGUCUGUCCUACAUUACUUUGUUUCAGAAGAUGUAUUAGAGUGGGCGCAAAAGGUUCAAGUAGUCUCCAUACGAAAUCUAAAUAUGUAAGCUAUCUUAUGAUUAUUACUAUUAUUAUUUUUUACUCAAUAUCUUAUUUCUUUCAGCUUUGUAUUUAUUGUAAAUGUUGAUUCAUUGAGUGCUUAAUAAUUUAACUUAGUUCAAGUUUGACACAAACUAUUUAAUAGAUUAAUUUAAAGCGUUUGGAAUGCAAAAUUUUUGCAAGUGAAUUAAGAUUGAGUAUGUGCUUGUAAUCUUUUGAUUAUAUUGUUAGUUUGAAGUGACAUAUGAUCAAAUUGGUGAAAUUGUUUUGGGAAAAAUCUUUAAUUUUGUAAAGAUUAAAAAUGACAGGUACCUUCAAAGUCAUCAUCUACUACAAUAUUGACUCAACAAAGCGAGUAUAAAAAAUAAAAAUCAAGAAAUAAAAUAUAAAAUCUAAGGAAGUUGAAGCAUUCAUGAAACAAUUGUGCUUUACAUAUUUCUCCUUUUGUAUAAUGUUACUUUUAUUUUUCUUCUACAAUGUAAUCUUAUUUUUAGACUAUUGAUUUUUUUUUCACAUUUUAGAUUUCUUUGUCAUUAAAUUUUGAUUUCGAUGACUA
RNAcentral lists this long non-coding RNA (1522 nucleotides) under Citrus sinensis (sweet orange). Its description in RNAcentral is "long non-coding RNA (CSIN_LNC005283)". The record is from RNAcentral. Lineage: Eukaryota; Viridiplantae; Streptophyta; Magnoliopsida; Sapindales; Rutaceae.